This 723-nucleotide ribosomal RNA is filed under the name uncultured Bacillota bacterium. Its description in RNAcentral is "bacterial SSU rRNA". It matches the Rfam family "Bacterial small subunit ribosomal RNA", at positions 605 to 1330 of the family's 1533-position model. Lineage: Bacteria; Bacillati; Bacillota. The record is from RNAcentral.
CGGCUCAACCGUCGACGCGCUUCGGAAACUGGGGGACUUGAGGGCAGGAGAGGCGAGCGGAAUUCCCGGUGUAGCGGUGAAAUGCGUAGAGAUCGGGAAGAACACCAGUGGCGAAGGCGGCUCGCUGGACUGGCCCUGACGCUGACGCGCGAAAGCGUGGGGAGCGAACGGGAUUAGAUACCCCGGUAGUCCACGCCGUAAACGAUGGGCACUAGGUGUGGGAGGUAUCGACCCCUCCCGUGCCGGAGUUAACACACUAAGUGCCCCGCCUGGGGAGUACGGCCGCAAGGUUGAAACUCAAAGGAAUUGACGGGGGCCCGCACAAGCAGUGGAGCAUGUGGUUUAAUUCGACGCAACGCGAAGAACCUUACCCGGGCUUGACAUCCCCGGAACACCCGAGAGAUCGGGUGGCUCUACGGAGCCGGGAGACAGGUGCUGCAUGGUUGUCGUCAGCUCGUGUCGUGAGAUGUUGGGUUAAGUCCCGCAACGAGCGCAACCCUUGUCCCGUGUUACCAGCGUAAAGGCGGGGACUCACGGGAGACUGCCGGUGACAAACCGGAGGAAGGUGGGGAUGACGUCAAAUCAUCAUGGCCCUUAUGUCCGGGGCUACACACGUGCUACAAUGGCCGGCACAGCGGGAUGCGAAGGGGCGACCCGGAGCGAAUCCCUGAAAGCCGGUCCCAGUUCGGAUCGCAGGCUGAAACCCGCCUGCGUGAAGCCGGA